Molecule: ribosomal RNA, 492 nt
Filed under: uncultured bacterium
Lineage: Bacteria
Description: partial 16S ribosomal RNA
Rfam family: Bacterial small subunit ribosomal RNA
Source: RNAcentral
AGUGAACGCUGGCGGUAGGCCUAACACAUGCAAGUCGAACGGCAGCACAGUAAGCGCUUGCUCUUACGGGUGGCGAGUGGCGGACGGGUGAGGCAUACAUCGGAAUCUACUUUUUCGUGGGGGAUAACGUAGGGAAACUUACGCUAAUACCGCAUACGACCUACGGGUGAAAGCAGGGGAUCUUCGGGCCUUGCGCGAUUGAAUGAGCCGAUGUCGGAUUAGCUAGUUGGCGGGGUAAAGGCCCACCAAGGCGACGAUGCGUAGCUGGUCUGAGAGGAUGAUCAGCCACACUGGAACUGAGACACGGUCCAGACUCCUACGGGAGGCAGCAGUGGGGAAUAUUGGACAAUGGGCGCAAGCCUGAUCCAGCAAUACCGCGUGAGUGAAGAAGGCCUUCGGGUUGUAAAGCCCUUUUGUUGGGAAAGAAAAGCAGUAGGUUAAUCCCCCGCUGUUCUGACGGUACCUAAAGAGUAAGCACCGGCUAACUUCGUG